RNAcentral lists this long non-coding RNA (1437 nucleotides) under Equus asinus (donkey). RNAcentral describes it as "lncRNA (ENSEASG00005036717.1)". The record is from RNAcentral. Lineage: Eukaryota; Metazoa; Chordata; Mammalia; Perissodactyla; Equidae.
UUCAGGCUUGGGGCGUGCAGCGUGGAGAGGAGGGCAGCCAGGAGCACACCGUCAGGGGCUGUGUGAGGCCAGGGCACUUGGACUUGCUCUCAGAUGAAUCGUGCUGCAGGCGGAUCAGAAGAGGUCUGUCCUCAGAGAACUCACGAUGAAAGUGUGGAAAGAAGCUAACAGAGAUCACAGCUCUACCCUGAGCCUGAAACUCCAGUGCUCAAGGGCGACUCUAAUGCCUCGGAGAACUUAACCAUGUGUGUGUUUGCACUUUCUCCGCCCUGAACAGGACAAGAUGGCAGCAGUUUGCCGCCUGAACUCCCCAGGUGAGAGCCCCCCACGCCCACCCUCUGGGCUGUGGGCUGACCUGGGGGCGGGGGCAGAGCUGCCCCUGGGGCUGCCACCUGGGAGCAGGUGACAGGCCCCAGCACGGGCGGCUCCAUCAGGAGCUGCCUGCCUGCUUGGGCCUCUCCCUCAGGAGACUCUAUGACUUAUUUUUAGAAGGAAGAGUUUGAUUCAAUGAAGCCCAGAACCAAAUGCUGGAGAAAUGCUUUCCGGUCUCCCCAGCAGGCUGGCCAUGUUCUAGUGGUGGCCCGGAUCUUGGGGCAGCCUGGAGCAAGAAGGGGCCCUGAGCCAGGGCCUCUGUCCUGUGUUCCCAUCACCCUGAGGUCGCAGGGGCGUUCACGGGGCAGCAGGAAGGGAGAGGCAGACUGGACUCCGUGGGCUUGAGGGAAGACGGAAAGAGAAUAAAAGGCACAGUCCUUCCCUUUCAAGACCUCAGACCUUCCUGGAGAACGCAGUCUCCGGCAAGGGAAGUGAGGACAAUGCAAGUUGCCCCACCGCUGGGCUAAAGGCUGGGAGGGCGCAGGGCAUCACGGAGGGAGACGGCCGGGGAUGGGUUCUCAGGGAGGAGGGGGCAGGGGCAGGCUCUCGAAGAAUGGGAGUGGUUAGUCUGGGGCCUGAGCAUGCAGGCAGGAAGGAGGCGGUGGACAGGGGACCACGAAGAGGCCUGAAACUGGAGGGACAAGUAGAGGCAGAGGCCUCUCGGCAGGGCCCAUGGUGUUCUGCAGAAUCAGGACUUCAUCCAAAAGGAGGGAGGGGACAGGAAAGCAGAGGAGAUGAGCAAAUCCUUCAGGCCUCAGGGCCUGGUUCUUCACGCCCACCAGCUCUCCAUCAGCUCACCCCAUGGAUGGGGCAUUUUGUUUGGGUACCAUGAAGCAACCUGACAGCCCCACUUGCAGGUUUGCAUCCUGGAGGGACCCAUUUUUGCUGAGUAGAUGGAUCCUGACAAAGCAGUUCUGCUGCUCACGGGCUAUUCCUGGGUCCUGGGAAGGAAGGCUCUUUGUAGGCAAGUUUGUUGUCCUUGUUGUUAUGCAUCCUGGCUGGUUUUGGCCACAGGGGGCAGUGUAGUUCCGUGAGAUGCUAAUAGAUAGGGCAUUCCUGUUUUCC